This 541-nucleotide ribosomal RNA is filed under the name bacterium enrichment culture. RNAcentral's name for it is "bacterial SSU rRNA". It matches the Rfam family "Bacterial small subunit ribosomal RNA", at positions 62 to 598 of the family's 1533-position model. The record is from RNAcentral.
UCGAACGGCAGCACGGGAGCAAUCCUGGUGGCGAGUGGCGAACGGGUGAGUAAUACAUCGGAACGUGCCCAAUCGUGGGGGAUAACGCAGCGAAAGCUGUGCUAAUACCGCAUAAAAUCUACGGAUGAAAGCAAGGGAUCGCAAGACCUUGCGCGAAUGGAGCGGCCGAUGGCAGAUUAGGUAGUUGGUGAGGUAAAGGCUCACCAAGCCUUCGAUCUGUAGCUGGUCUGAGAGGACGACCAGCCACACUGGGACUGAGACACGGCCCAGACUCCUACGGGAGGCAGCAGUGGGGAAUUUUGGACAAUGGGCGCAAGCCUGAUCCAGCCAUGCCGCGUGCAGGAUGAAGGCCUUCGGGUUGUAAACUGCUUUUGUACGGAACGAAACGGCCUUUUCUAAUAAAGAGGGCUAAUGACGGUACCGUAAGAAUAAGCACCGGCUAACUACGUGCCAGCAGCCGCGGUAAUACGUAGGGUGCAAGCGUUAAUCGGAAUUACUGGGCGUAAAGCGUGCGCAGGCGGUUAUGUAAGACAGUUGUGAA